This 327-nucleotide ribosomal RNA is filed under the name uncultured eukaryote. RNAcentral describes it as "partial 18S ribosomal RNA". It matches the Rfam family "Eukaryotic small subunit ribosomal RNA", at positions 1470 to 1796 of the family's 1831-position model. The record is from RNAcentral.
CCCUUAGAUGUUCUGGGCCGCACACGCGCUACACUGAAGGAGGCAGCAUGUACUCCUGGAUCGAAAGAUUUGGGUAACCCGCGAAUCUCCUUCGUGCUAGGGAUUGAGGUUUGCAAUUAUCCUUCAUGAACGAGGAAUUCCCAGUAAGUGCAAGUCAUAAGCUUGCGCUGACUACGUCCCUGCCCUUUGUACACACUGCCCGUCGCUACUACCGAUUGAAUGAUUUAGUGAGGACUUCGGACUGGGACCGAUGCGGCUUUCGGGCUGCGUCGGUAUUCUGGAAAGAUGUCCAAACUGUAUCAUUUAGAGGAAGUAAAAGUCGUAACA